UGCUGUAUCCUGUGUGCAAGCUCUCAGCGCAACCUGUGUUUGGAUUCUCCUGUUCUCUGUGGCUACCUGUGUUCUCCAGUGGCAGCUUUUUCUGUUCCUCGUGUCCUCAGAACUUUCUUUAGUCAGCCAGUCGCCUGCCACGCUGUCUGCCUAUUGUUCCUGUGUUUUCAUCAGUGCCUUAUUAAAGAGCCUUCUGUUGGAACUUACCCGUGUGUGUUCUCUGCAUUGGGGUCCUAUACUAGAGUUCAUAACAAUCAGGACCUCCUCCCCAGACGAUCCCAAGGAGGGACCCCCAGCCGCCCCCUGUGGAAGCGCACUCAACAGCUCGUGGCCAGAUCACGAUGCAGCAGGAAACCUGGACAGCGCUUCUUGUUCCUGUCCACAGCCGCUCCAUCAUCCCUCAGGUGGUCCUCCAUAAGGUCCCGGGGGCAGCAGCCUCCUGCAGCGCUUCACCUCUCACCUCUCUCUGCCUCCUCCUCUGGCUCUUCUCCCUUUUCUCUCUCCUUACCAGGCUGCUCAUUCUGGCCUGUUGAGGCAUCAGGACCUCCUCCCCAGACGAUCCCAAGGAGGGACCCUCAGCUGCCCCCUGAGCCUGCAGAAGCACCCCCAGCAGAUGCCUCUGCCUCCCUCUCUGGCUCUUCUCUCUCUUCUCUCCCCUCGCCUUUUCUCCUCCCUCUCCUCUCUCCUCCUCCUCUUCUAGCUCCUCGUCUCCGGACCAACCUGAGCCACCCAUAAGCUGUAUUUCAUUCUCUCUGUGCUUUGAUUUUUUGCGCUCCUGGUCUAGGUGCUCGUCUCCAGACAACGAGUCGCCCCCUGAGCCUUCCAAGGUGCGCCCCCCUGGACCACCUGAGCCACCCAGUCAGCGUUUGGAAGUGCGCCCCCCUGGACCACCUGAGCCAACCAGUCCACCUGGGUUGUUUGGGAACCAGCCUGAACCGCAGUGAGUGAAGGAUGCCCGGUCCUUCAUGGAGAGGAGGGAGCCAUAUGACUCCAUGGGGUGCAAAAGGACCAUUAACGCUGAAGGUGGGUCUCCAGGUAAGCCAGAGUCGUUACGUCGUUAUCAUUAUACAUUUUAAUUUCCUUACAUUUUUUGUGAAUGAUUUUGUAUUGAACUUCUGUGAUUUGCUUUGAAUUAGUUUGAAUUGAAUUGAUUGAGGGGCCAUGCAGCGUGAGAAUGGUGUUCUUGUUGCUGCACCAUGACUCAGGCAGGGUGUCUGCACAGAGCGAGUGUGAUCUGGGAGGGAUAGCGUGAACCUCCAACGUGUUUCGACCUCCCAGUGAAGCUGCUCUGUGACAGAGAAAGAAAAGGAUGGCGACACCAUGUCAAGGAGGUUCACAUGUCUGUUGACACCCACCCUAGACCGACAGGAGUCUGCAGUGACGAGGGCCUCAUGGCAGGGGUCAGCUGUAGAAAGUUAGCAUGUAGGUAGCAUGUGUAGUUAUGUUAGAGAAGAAAUUAUUACAAUAGGGAAGAAAUCAUUUAGGAAGAGAAGGGAGAAGAGAAGAGGAAGGAAAAGGUAAGAUGUACGACAGGGAGGAGAGGAGGAGGAGUCCUUCAGAAGAAGAAGGUAAGUCUUUCAUGGUAUUAUCAGAUUUCAUGCAAUUAUGAAUUAUAUCACUGUUUAUCUGAUUUCUAAAGUUUUUAGUUCAAUCUGCUUGUCUUCUGUUUUUCUUUUAGAGAGAUGACGAGAGAGGAGAGGAGGUGGAGGGCAACAUGACAUGAAAACCCUCUCAUAUAAAAGAGAGAUGAUGACAGAGGAGAGGAGAGGAGAGGAGAGGAGGUGGGAGGGCAACAUGUCGUGUAAAACCUCAUGUAAAAGAGAGAGGAGAGGAGGUGGAGGACAAUAUGAAAAGUGAACCACCACCAUCAAAAAGAAAAACAUCUGUUUAUGUCAUACUGCCUACAUGAUACACAGGAAGAAUCCAUCUGUUCACAUUUAUUCACUGAAAAUGUAACUAUUAUCCCCCCCCAUCUGCAUUUUUUUAGAAAGAGGAGAGGAGACAUGAUUGACGAAGAGAGUGAGGAGACGAGAAAAGGAAAGAAAUAAGGAAAAUCGGAGUAGAGGAGAGGAGGUGGAGGGCAUUAUAAAGUGUA
Long non-coding RNA from Lates calcarifer (barramundi perch), 2095 nucleotides. RefSeq lists it as uncharacterized. NCBI's taxonomy places the organism in Eukaryota, Metazoa, Chordata, Actinopteri, Centropomidae. The transcript is spliced from 5 exons. The record is from RefSeq and is a predicted model, not a curated record.